GACGAACGCUGGCGGCGUGCUUAACACAUGCAAGUCGAACGGAAAGGCCCUGCUUUUGUGGGGUGCUCGAGUGGCGAACGGGUGAGUAACGCGUGAGUAACCUGCCCUUGACUUUGGGAUAACUUCAGGAAACUGGGGCUAAUACCGGAUAGGAGCUCCUGCUGCAUGGUGGGGGUUGGAAAGUUUCGGCGGUUGGGGAUGGACUCGCGGCUUAUCAGCUUGUUGGUGGGGUAGUGGCUUACCAAGGCUUUGACGGGUAGCCGGCCUGAGAGGGUGACCGGCCAAAUUGGGACUGAGAUACGGCCCAGACUCCUACGGGAGGCAGCAGUGGGGAAUAUUGCACAAUGGGCGGAAGCCUGAUGCAGCAACGCCGCGUGCGGGAUGACGGCCUUCGGGUUGUAAACCGCUUUCGCCUGUGACGAAGCGUGAGUGACGGUAAUGGGUAAAGAAGCACCGGCUAACUACGUG
This 468-nucleotide ribosomal RNA is filed under the name uncultured bacterium. RNAcentral's name for it is "partial 16S ribosomal RNA". It matches the Rfam family "Bacterial small subunit ribosomal RNA", at positions 28 to 507 of the family's 1533-position model. The record is from RNAcentral.